CAAAUGAAUAGACGGGGGCCCGCACAAGCGGUGGAGCAUGUGGUUUAAUUCGAUGCAACGCGAAGAACCUUACCAGGUCUUGACAUCCAACGAACCUUUACGAAAGUAGGGGGUGCCUUCGGGAGCGUUGAGACAGGUGGUGCAUGGUUGUCGUCAGCUCGUGUCGUGAGAUGUUGGGUUAAGUCCCGCAACGAGCGCAACCCUUGCUAUUAGUUGCUAACAUUUAAGGUGAGCACUCUAAUGGGACUGCCUGUGACAAGCAGGAGGAAGGUGGGGACGACGUCAAAUCAUCA
Molecule: ribosomal RNA, 293 nt
Filed under: uncultured eukaryote
Lineage: Eukaryota
Description: partial 18S ribosomal RNA
Rfam family: Bacterial small subunit ribosomal RNA
Source: RNAcentral